AGAGUUUGAUCAUGGCUCAGGACUAACGCUGGCGGCGUGCCUAACACAUGCAAGUCGAACGGGGCCCUGGUUCGCCAGGGUCUAGUGGCAGACGGGUGAGUAACACGUAGGUAAUGUACCCUCUUGCUGGGGAUACCUGUCCGAAAGGAUGGUUAAUACCGAAUGAGCCACGACCGGGGCAUCCUGGUGGUGGCAAACUGGCAACGGGCGAGAGGAUCAGCCUGCGGACCAUCAGCUGGUUGGUGGGGUAACGGCCUACCAAGGCGACGACGGUUAGCCGGUUUGAGAGGACGAUCGGCCACACUGGGACUGAAACACGGCCCAGACUCCUACGGGAGGCAGCAGUGAGGAAUAUUGCGCAAUGGGCGAAAGCCUGACGCAGCGACGCCGCGUGAGGGAUGAAGGCCUUCGGGUCGUAAACCUCUGUCAGUGGGGAAGAGAACGGACGGUACCCACUGAGGAAGCAUCGGCUUACUACGUGCCAGCAGCCGCGGUAAUACGUAGGAUGCAAGCGUUGUCCGGAUUUACUGGGCGUAAAGAGCUCGUAGGCGGGGACGCGCGUCUCGGAGGAAAUUCCAGGGCUCAACCCUGGAGCUUUCCGAGAUACGGCGUCUCUUGAGGGCAGAAGAGGAGAACAGAAUUCCCGGUGUAGCGGUGAAAUGCGUAGAUAUCGGGAGGAAUACCAGUGGCGAAGGCGGUUCUCUGGUCUGUCUCUGACGCUGAGGAGCGAAAGCGUGGGUAGCGAACGGGAUUAGAUACCCCGGUAGUCCACGCCGUAAACGAUGGGCACUAGGUGUAGGAGGUAUCGACCCCUUCUGUGCCGCAGCUAACGCAUUAAGUGCCCCGCCUGGGGAGUACGGCCGCAAGGUUGAAACUCAAAUGAAUUGACGG
Molecule: ribosomal RNA, 891 nt
Filed under: uncultured bacterium
Lineage: Bacteria
Description: bacterial SSU rRNA
Rfam family: Bacterial small subunit ribosomal RNA
Source: RNAcentral